Long non-coding RNA from Lethenteron reissneri (Far Eastern brook lamprey), 882 nucleotides. RefSeq lists it as uncharacterized. The record is from RefSeq and is a predicted model, not a curated record. Lineage: Eukaryota; Metazoa; Chordata; Hyperoartia; Petromyzontiformes; Petromyzontidae.
UCGCCCGUUGCCCGGGCAACCACGUGCGUUUGUUGUCCGCUGGUCUUCACGUGUGUGCACAUCAUCGAUGGUUGUCUCUUUUUAAAACUUAAUUAUUAUUUUUUACCCUCUGGUUUAUUAACGACAGCUGGUUUACAGAGCAGUGGAGCAUGGAGCCCGGAAAGUGCAUUCCGAACAAAUUUGUGGCGACCCACCCCUCGUACAUGCUUCCCAACCGGUUUGCUCAGGUGAAUGGGGGCCCCAAAACCCCAAGCGUGUUGGGACGUGCUGAGCCACGCAGUGCCCCCCAGCCAGAUGUGUACGGAAUCCUGGACACUUAUCGCUGGAUCACCACCUACCGAGAAGCCUACAUGCCACACACAGAGGGACAUUAAAACCGAAGCACUUAUCAUAAUAAGUUCAUGGAUGAGCUAUUUGGCUGUCAAACCUAAAUAUAAUUCAUAACCAAUUUAGGAUACUAUUAAAGUGAAAGCUCUCAUUGCUAUACAUACACUAUUCCGUUUACUUUAGCUGUAGAGAUAUUUUGUUAAUUGUGGAGCAAAAUAAUGAGCAACAAUUUAAAAUACAGAUGCAAUAAGAGAUAAGGAAAGUCACAUGCAGUGCCACUUUCUGCAUUAUUUUAUGAAGCUGUUGGUACGCCACAGAAAUCUACGCAACUUGAUUAUUGUAAAGGGGCAUUUUCACUUUGAAUAGCAUAUGAUCGGUCUUCUGGAUGAUUAUGGGCCUUCUGGAUGUUUUACAGCAGCAUUUUUGUGAAACGCUGAACCAGUUUCACCUUUCUGAUUCUCAUCAGCAGUCAUACAUGGUAAAUAACAGUUGUUGAUUUUUACACUGCAAUAUGUUUGAAAAAGCACAUUAAAACAAUCCCUUGAUAUUCUUCAA